GCGGGGGUGAGGGGGAUUUAACUCAGGGCCACUGGACCACGGAGCCACAUCCCCAGCCCUAUUUUGUAUUUUAUUUAGAGACAGGGUCUCACUGAGUCACUUAGUGCCUCACCCUUGCUGAGGCUGGCUUUGAAUUCGUUAUCCUCCUAUCUCAGCCUCCCUAGCUGCUGGGAUUACAGGCAAGGGCCACUGUGCUGGUUCACAAUAGGAUUCUUUUAUUUAUUUCUCCUAAAAAUGAGAUGGGACUAAAAAUGCUACCUGGAAUCCAGUCACAAUCCUGGGUCCUCUCAGUACAUAUUCACCAAUCUCAUAUCCUGACCUCAUUUAUUUUCCUAUAAAGAAAAAAACUUGGCUUCAUUUUUUACUUCAAUUUAAAGUAUUUAGAACCUAGAAUUCCAAGUGGUUUGGACCUGGAAUGUUUGGUUGUGUGAUAAUAUCUAAACACUCAAAUGUGUGGUUUUGAUUUUUGUUUGUUUGUUUGUUUGUAUUAGCGAUGGAACCUAGGGGCACUUAAUCACUGAGCUACAUCCUCAGUCUUAUUUAUUUAUUUACUUAUUGGUACAGGGGAUUGAACUCAGAGGCACUCGACCAUUGAGCCACAUCCCUAGCCCUAUUUUGUAUUUUAUUAGAGACAGGGUCUCACUGAGUUGCUUAGAGCCUUGCUGUUGCUGAGGCUUGCUUUGAAUCGUGAUCCUCCUGCCUCAGGUACCCAAUUCACUGGAGUUAUAGUCGUGCACCAUCGUGCCCAGCUUUGUGUUUUAUUUUGAAACAGGGUCUCACUAAGUUCUUAUGGCCUUUUUAAGUUGCUGAGACUAGCUUUGAACUUGAAAUCUACCUGCCUUAACCUCCGUAGUUGCUGGGAUUACAGCUGUGUGCCACUAUGCCCAGCUAAAUACCCAAAUGUUUUUAACAUGCUGAAUUGGAUUCCAUACUCUUAACUUUCUGGGAUGUUUAAAAACUAGUUUAACUCAAAUUACAGACAAAUGUGUUUAUUACAUAAAAGAAAAAAAUUGGGGGAUGUGGCUCAGUGGUAGAGCACUUGCCUAGCAUGCUGAAGGCCCUGGGUUCAAUCCUCAGCACUAAAAAAAAAAAAAAAAUUAAGACUCAGUGGCACUUGCCUAUAAUCCCAGCUGUGGAAAUUGGGAGGGAUGAGGGUGCAGGAUCACAAAUUGUAGGCCAAACUGGGCAACUUAGUGAGACCCUAUCUGUAAAUAAAAAGGACUGGGAUGUAGCUCUGGAAAAGAGUACCCUUGGGCCCCUGGGUUCAAUCCCAAGUACCACAUAAAAAAAAAGAAAGAAAAAAAAAAGUUUUACCCAUGCCAUGUUCUCAAUAAAAUGAUUAUAUCCCACCUGGCUAAGCUUUAUAGUAUAGCAUUUACCCUCUUUCAGUGAUUUCCAGUGUUAUAUUCUGCUUUUCCCAAGAUGGUUCUAUGAUGUGAAGUUCUUUGCCAAAAGUGAUUGAGUAACAUCUGAUGGUCACUAAAAGGCAAAUGAGUCCAAGGAGGCAAAUCCUGUUUUCUUUGGACUUUAUAGCAGGUAAAGAUUGCCUUUUCAGGUUAUAUACCUGAAGAAAAUGAAGCAGCAGCAUCUACUGAAGGCUUACUAAGGAGUCCUCAGAGAGGUGACAGACUGUGCUGAGGUCUCUAAUCCCUGAGACCACAGCAGGCACUUUUUGCAGGAAUAAAUGUUCUACCUCCAGAGUAAGAUAUAAGAAGGGAAGUAUGUGGGUUGGACACAUUUUCUCAAACUGUAGAGUUUGGUUCCUUAGGACAGAUAACAGCCCCUCACUAAGACCAGCUAGCAAACUCAGCUCACCAGGUGUUUUUCAGCCUCAUUAGGUCUCAGCAUUAUAUAUGUGUGGUCAUCAAAGAGAAUUCUAGCUACUCAUUUUGCCUUUUCAGUUUUCCUAAGAUUACUGUGCAUCAGCAAUUUUAACUUAUUUAUUGACUUGAAAAUAGUGUAUGCCUAGGAAGACACUGAAGUCUGGAAACUAAAUUUUUAGGCAUAAAAAUACUGUGGUCAACUCGGAUCGAUAAAAAACUAAUGCAUUUUUUUGUCUCAGAUGACUUGACCCCCUUGGGUACUUUAUGAGUUAAUUCAAGGGCAGCUACAGACAAGCAAUAUUGUGAUCUUGUUGAAUUGCAAUGUCAUUGAUAUGUUUACCAUGGUCCCUUUGUACCCAAGACUCUGACAAGAUUCUAAUUUCUCAAUAAACUUCUUUACAGGAAGCCUGAACAAUCAUGAAUACUGCCCAGCUCCGGUUUCCUGCUGCUUGACACUUUGCAGAGCCUUUUAUUGAUCCUUGAAAAUAGAACUGUCAUGCGUGCUGGGAAGGGGGCUUCUGGCUAAGGAGUGGGCAAUUGCAUCCUGAGGACAGGAACAAAGGGAUCUCUUCAGUGCAGAGAUCUCCAUAUUGACUUUCCUAGUUCUUCAUCGGUUUGAUGCACUUUAUUUUUUUUUUAAUUUUUUAUUGAUUUUAUUUUUUUAAAUACACAGCAGCAGUGGAAUGCAUUACAAUUCUUAUUACACAUAUAGCGCCCGAUUUUUCAUAUCUCUGUGUAUAAAGUAUGUUCACGCCAAUUUAUGCCUUUAUAUGUGUACUUUGGGUUUUUUUUUGCAUUACAAUUCUUAAUACACAUGUAUAUCACAAUUUUUCAUAUCUCUGUAUAUAAAAUAUGUU
RNAcentral lists this long non-coding RNA (2680 nucleotides) under Marmota monax (woodchuck). The stretch from base 1019 to 1079 matches the Rfam family "tRNA", at positions 6 to 65 of the family's 71-position model. Lineage: Eukaryota; Metazoa; Chordata; Mammalia; Rodentia; Sciuridae. The record is from RNAcentral.